AGAUAGCUUGGAAAAAGCAGCCAGCAUUUUUGUAGGGGUAGAUGAGGAUACUGGGGUGGCGGUAGUGUCAAGUAAAGUGUAUGUUUCGGAUUGGUAACUUUAAUGGCAAAGGCCAGAUUAUUUUGCCAUGUUUUGAUAUCAUUGAGUUCACUGCAAUGCGUCUCUGUCAUUUUUUUUUUUUCUCCAUAACACAUAAGACUGAAUAUUAAUAAAAUGGAAGUAGAAUUGUCAAGUUGCGCUGUCAUUUGAAGUUGGCAUAUAGGCAGUGUCUGAUUCUGGCGUAGGGGAUUUUGUUCAUUUACUAAUAUGGGUUGGAGUCACACAAAGGCCUCUUCAUCUUAGCUAGAAGCCCAUCUGCCCAGAACACAUAAGACUGAAUAUUAAUAAAA
RNAcentral lists this unclassified non-coding RNA (389 nucleotides) under Hevea brasiliensis (rubber tree). Lineage: Eukaryota; Viridiplantae; Streptophyta; Magnoliopsida; Malpighiales; Euphorbiaceae. The record is from RNAcentral.